Molecule: ribosomal RNA, 568 nt
Filed under: uncultured bacterium
Lineage: Bacteria
Description: bacterial SSU rRNA
Rfam family: Bacterial small subunit ribosomal RNA
Source: RNAcentral
GUGGUGUGAGAUGGAUCCGCGUCUGAUUAGCCAGUUGGCGGGGUAACGGCCCACCAAAGCGACGAUCAGUAGCCGACCUGAGAGGGUGACCGGCCACAUUGGGACUGAGACACGGCCCAAACUCCUACGGGAGGCAGCAGUGGGGAAUAUUGCACAAUGGGCGCAAGCCUGAUGCAGCGACGCCGCGUGAGUGAAGAAGUAUCUCGGUAUGUAAAGCUCUAUCAGCAGGGAAGAAAAUGACGGUACCUGACUAAGAAGCCCCGGCUAACUACGUGCCAGCAGCCGCGGUAAUACGUAGGGGGCAAGCGUUAUCCGGAUUUACUGGGUGUAAAGGGAGCGUAGACGGCGACGCAAGUCUGGAGUGAAAGCCCGGGGCCCAACCCCGGGACUGCUUUGGAAACUGUGCUGCUGGAGUGCAGGAGAGGUAAGUGGAAUUCCUAGUGUAGCGGUGAAAUGCGUAGAUAUUAGGAGGAACACCAGUGGCGAAGGCGGCUUACUGGACUGUAACUGACGUUGAGGCUCGAAAGCGUGGGGAGCAAACAGGAUUAGAUACCCUGGUAGUCCACGC